UACGAAGGGAGCUAGCGUUGUUCGGAAUUACUGGGCGUAAAGCGCACGUAGGCGGAUUGCUAAGUCAGGGGUGAAAUCCCGGGGCUCAACCUCGGAACUGCCUUUGAUACUGACAAUCUCGAGUCCGAUAGAGGUGGGUGGAAUUCCUAGUGUAGAGGUGAAAUUCGUAGAUAUUAGGAAGAACACCGGUGGCGAAGGCGGCCCACUGGAUCGGUACUGACGCUGAGGUGCGAAAGCGUGGGGAGCAAACAGGAUUAGAAACCCCUGUAGUCC
This 273-nucleotide ribosomal RNA is filed under the name uncultured bacterium. Its description in RNAcentral is "partial 16S ribosomal RNA". It matches the Rfam family "Bacterial small subunit ribosomal RNA", at positions 524 to 796 of the family's 1533-position model. The record is from RNAcentral.